This 21-nucleotide non-coding RNA is filed under the name Caenorhabditis elegans. Lineage: Eukaryota; Metazoa; Nematoda; Chromadorea; Rhabditida; Rhabditidae. The record is from RNAcentral.
UUGCAAUAAUCUUGCCACAAC